UCGGUAAUUCCAGCUCCAAAAGCGUAUAUUAAAGUUGUUGCAGUUAAAAAGCUCGUAGUUGAUUUUCGACGCAUCUGAGGGGUCCACUUCGGUGCGUACUCUGAGGGUGCGUUUUCUCUGGGGCGCCUUUUGGCAAGCCAGACUGUUACUUUGAAAAAAUUAGAGUGUUCAAAGCGGGCGAUAGCUUGAAUAUAUUAGCAUGGAAUAAUAGAGUAGGACGGAUGGAUCUAUUUUGUUGGUUUCUAGAACCAUCGUAAUGAUUAAUAGGGACGGUCGGGGGCAUCAGUAUUCAGUUGUCAGAGGUGAAAUUCUUGGAUUUACUGAAGACUAACUACUGCGAAAGCAUUUGCCAAGGACGUUUUCAUUAAUCAAGAACGAAAGUUAGGGGAUCGAAGACGAUCAGAUACCGUCGUAGUCUUAACCGUAAACUAUGCCGACUAGGGAUCGGAGGGCGUUAUAAUAACCUCUCCGGCACCUUACGAGAAAUCAAAGUUUUUGGGUUCUGGGGGGAGUAUGGUUGCAAGGCUGAAACUUAAAGGAAUUGACGGAAGGGCACCACCAGGAGUGGAGCCUGCGGCUUAAUUUGACUCAACACGGGGAAACUCACCAGGUCCAGACACAAUAAGGAUUGACAGAUUGAGAGCUCUUUCAUGAUUUUGUGGGUGGUGGUGCAUGGCCGUUCUUAGUUGGUGGAGUGAUUUGUCUGCUUAAUUGCGAUAACGAACGAGACCUUAACCUGCUAAAUAGCUGUAACAAUAGAUUAUUGUUUUGACAGCUUCUUAGAGGGACUAUCGAUUUUCAAGUCGAUGGAAGUUUGAGGCAAUAACAGGUCUGUGAUGCCCUUAGACGUUCUGGGCCGCACGCGCGCUACACUGACGGAGCCAGCGAGUCUAACCUGUGCCGAGAGGUAUGGGUAAUCUUGUGAAACUCCGUCGUGCUGGGGAUAGAGCAUUGCAAUUAUUGCUCUUCAACGAGGAAUUCCUAGUAAGCGCAAGUCACUAGCUUGCGUUGAUUACGUCCCUGCCCUUUGUACACACCGCCC
Molecule: ribosomal RNA, 1042 nt
Filed under: uncultured Galactomyces
Lineage: Eukaryota; Fungi; Ascomycota; Dipodascomycetes; Dipodascales; Dipodascaceae
Description: bacterial SSU rRNA
Rfam family: Eukaryotic small subunit ribosomal RNA
Source: RNAcentral